RNAcentral lists this ribosomal RNA (429 nucleotides) under Bacteroidota bacterium. Its description in RNAcentral is "Bacteroidetes bacterium partial 16S ribosomal RNA". It matches the Rfam family "Bacterial small subunit ribosomal RNA", at positions 355 to 776 of the family's 1533-position model. Lineage: Bacteria; Pseudomonadati; Bacteroidota. The record is from RNAcentral.
UAGGGAAUCUUCGGCAAUGGGGGGAACCCUGACCGAGCAACGCCGCGUGAGUGAAGAAGGUUUUCGGAUCGUAAAGCUCUGUUGUUAAGGAAGAACGAGUGUGAGAAUGGAAAGUUCAUGCUGUGACGGUACUUAACCAGAAAGGGACGGCUAACUACGUGCCAGCAGCCGAGGUAAUACGUAGGUCCCGAGCGUUGUCCGGAUUUAUUGGGCGUAAAGCGAGCGCAGGCGGUUCGAUAAGUCUGAAGUUAAAGGCAGUGGCUCAACCAUUGUAGGCUUUGGAAACUGUUUAACGUGCGUGCAGAAGGGGAGAGUGGAAUUCCAUGUGUGGCGGUGAAAUGCGUAGAUAUAUGGAGGAACACCGGUGGCGAAAGCGGCUCUCUGGUCUGUAACUGACACUGAGGCUCGAAAGCGUGGGGAGCAAACAGG